GACGAAGGGGGCUAGCGUUGUUCGGAAUUACUGGGCGUAAAGCGCGUGUAGGCGGUUGUUCAAGUCAGGUGUGAAAGCCUUGAGCUCAACUCAAGAAAUGCACUUGAUACUGGAUGACUAGAGGACCGGAGAGGAUAGUGGAAUUCCCAGUGUAGUGGUGAAAUACGUAGAGAUUGGGAAGAACACCAGUGGCGAAGGCGGCUAUCUGGACGGUUUCUGACGCUAAGACGCGAAAGCGUGGGGAGCAAACGGG
Molecule: ribosomal RNA, 253 nt
Filed under: uncultured bacterium
Lineage: Bacteria
Description: partial 16S ribosomal RNA
Rfam family: Bacterial small subunit ribosomal RNA
Source: RNAcentral